AAAACGACUCUCGGCAACGGAUAUCUCGGCUCUCGCAUCGAUGAAGAACGUAGCGAACUGCGAUACUUGGUGUGAAUUGCAGAAUCCCGUGAACCAUCGANUCUUUGAACGCAAGUUGCGCCCGAAGCCAUUAGGCCGAGGGCACGUCUGCCUGGGCGUCACG
This 163-nucleotide ribosomal RNA is filed under the name Irlbachia pratensis. RNAcentral describes it as "5.8S ribosomal RNA". It matches the Rfam family "5.8S ribosomal RNA". From Rfam's summary of the family: 5.8S ribosomal RNA (5.8S rRNA) is a component of the large subunit of the eukaryotic ribosome. It is transcribed by RNA polymerase I as part of the 45S precursor that also contains 18S and 28S rRNA. The record is from RNAcentral. Lineage: Eukaryota; Viridiplantae; Streptophyta; Magnoliopsida; Gentianales; Gentianaceae.